UGAGUAUCCAGCCACUCCUCCUAACCAGUCUUAUGUAAUUCAUUAUUUAAAAAGCACAGAACUUUUCUAGUUAAGUGUGUACUAUGGGGGGGGCGUGGCAUUUCAAGAUUAUGGAGCUUCAUCGGACUUGACCUCUCCCAGAAGUGAAAACUGGAUAGUGAGUUUACCCACAUGAAAUUUAAUAGAAUUCAGAUGUCAGAUUAAUUUCUUUCUCCUUUUGAAGAUUCAAUAAUAUUGGGUUAGAGUCCAUAGUGGUGGAACAAAGGCAUGGUGGCAGGAACAGCAGAGAACUCUCAUAGAAUGAUGAGCACGGAAGAGAUGAAUGAUCAUCCAGUUGAUUACAGUGAACCGUAUAUGGUAACAGGGAAGCUGAGAGUAAAGGAGAGGCGAAUGAUCGUCUACAUCAGAAGUUCUCAGCCGUUGGGUCCUGACUCCUCUGGAGGUUGAAUGGCUUGACUGCGAGGAAAGAUACCCUUAAAAGUCUUAUCUUCAGACUAAGGGAUAUCUAUUUCAGAACUUCUAUGUGAUCCUGUAACAUAAGGAAGACUCUGGUGCGAUUAUACAGGAUUUGCAAGGCCCACGGAAGGUUUCGUUUGUGGUGCAGUCCAUCUGCUACGAAGUUCUCUGACACCCUUUGCUGAGACAGUGGGAGUCCAUUUCUUUUCUUUUCAUGGAAGCUGGCCUGGUUUGGACCAGUAAAUUUCAUGAAUAAAGUUUAGCCCAAGGGACACCCAGAUGCUUUCCUGGGUAGUCAGAAGCCUCACAGCUUCUUCAGUCUUCUCAGAAUGUUUGCACUCUGGCCUCUUCCUCUUGAGAUAACCUUGCAGUGAGAACAGACAGUACACAUAUAUGUGAUUCUCAUAACCCCACCCCAUGUCCCGCCAUCCAGGGCUCUCCAAUACCGGUCCAGCCGAACCUACAGCAGUGUGAGCUGCCCAAAUAGAUCCUUAGCACCUUGCACGGCAAACAGAAUAGAACGGCUGUGUCAACACUAAACAUGCGGCUGUGCGUUGCACCUCAGAUUUAGUCUGCUUUUGAUCGGACUGCUCUAACAACCCCGUCACAGCCGGCUUUGCAUGAUGAAGUUGCGGAUCUGCGAGGCCUGGAGGAGCCCAUCUGAGGACUUGGAAUAAACAAGUGGUGUAAUUAUGGGUAGCCCUAUGACAUCAAGGUGAACUGUGAAUGAUUUUGUUGCUUAGUGACGAAUCUCCUUAAGCUUCUGUUUUAUGUCUUCAUCACAUCUAACAGAAAAAAAUUACAUAACGUUCCUUUAUCUGCACUCUGCACUUGAUCUGAGUUGGGUCAGACAGAAAGAGCUGGCAUGCUACCUACUGGAACUUUGCUGCCCACUCACUGCCCUUUCCCCCUUCCUGGGAAAGGCUGCUUUGAUUGCAACAUUCCCCAGAUUUCAGCGGCCUCUGCUCUUGGUUCGUUCUGGGGCACUGUGUUCUGAGCAUGACCUGCUGGCAUCGAAACUUUGUGUGUGUGUGUGUCAAAAUCCUGUUACUUGUUUUGAAGUUACUUUCACAUAUUCAAUUUUAAUUUAGUAUAAAAAACACCUGUUUAUUGAAUUCUGUUUUGCUUCAAACAUUUCUGACUUUCCGUUCUUUGUGUGUGUGUGUGUGUGUGUGUGUGUGUGUGUGUGUGUGUGUGUGUAUGUUGGGGUGUUAACUACCAUUAGCCAAAUGUUAGGAAUGUCUUUCUGACCUGUCUUUUAACUCUCACACAAACACAUUAAUACAUACUCACACAAUAAUAAGAAAUAAAAAUAGAUAUCUACAGCAGAGAAACAACUUUUAAGCUUUUUUCUGUUUUUAAUUAAUUGUGAAAUAAAAAUAUUUUUUAAGAUUA
This is a long non-coding RNA of Mesocricetus auratus (golden hamster), 1851 nucleotides long. RefSeq lists it as uncharacterized. The transcript is spliced from 4 exons. Lineage: Eukaryota; Metazoa; Chordata; Mammalia; Rodentia; Cricetidae. The record is from RefSeq and is a predicted model, not a curated record.